GAGACGUUAGUAUAACCAACUACAUAGCCUUGUCAAGGCUAAGUUACAGGAAAAAUCCUGUACAUCUCU
Molecule: non-coding RNA, 69 nt
Organism: Colius striatus (speckled mousebird)
Lineage: Eukaryota; Metazoa; Chordata; Aves; Coliiformes; Coliidae
Source: the annotation of a RefSeq genome assembly